This 475-nucleotide ribosomal RNA is filed under the name uncultured bacterium. RNAcentral describes it as "bacterial SSU rRNA". It matches the Rfam family "Bacterial small subunit ribosomal RNA", at positions 28 to 507 of the family's 1533-position model. The record is from RNAcentral.
GACGAACGCUGGCGGCGUGCCUAACACAUGCAAGUCGAGCGGGGUUGAAGCGAGAGGUAACUCGAGCUUCUACCUAGCGGCGGACGGGUGAGUAACGCGUGGGCAACCUGCCUCAAGGUUUGGGAUAACAGCCCGAAAGGGCUGCUAAUACCGGAUAUGCCUAUGGCCUCGCAUGGGGCUAUGAGCAAAGGGGAAACCCGCCUUGAGAUGGGCCCGCGUCCCAUCAGCUAGUUGGUGAGGUAACAGCUCACCAAGGCGACGACGGGUAGCCGGCCUGAGAGGGUGACCGGCCACACUGGGACUGAGACACGGCCCAGACUCCUACGGGGGGCAGCAGUGGGGGAUCUUGCACAAUGGGCGAAAGCCUGAUGCAGCGACGCCGCGUGAGCGAAGAAGGCCUUCGGGUUGUAAAGCUCUGUCUGGAGGGACGAACAAAAUGACGGUACCUCCGGAGGAAGCCACGGCUAACUACGUG